UACAAGACUUCGGUCAAGUUGAACGGAUGACUUAGUGGCGGACGGGUGAGUAACGCGUGAGGAACCUGCCUCAAAGAGGGGGACAACAGUUGGAAACGACUGCUAAUACCGCAUAAGCCCACGGUACCACAUGGUACAGUGAGAAAAGGAGAAAUCCGCUGAAAGAUGGCCUCGCGUCUGAUUAGCUGGUUGGCGGGGUAACGGCCCACCAAGGCGACGAUCAGUAGCCGGACUGAGAGGUCGAACGGCCACAUUGGGACUGAGACACGGCCCAGACUCC
This 280-nucleotide ribosomal RNA is filed under the name uncultured Oscillospiraceae bacterium. RNAcentral's name for it is "partial 16S ribosomal RNA". It matches the Rfam family "Bacterial small subunit ribosomal RNA", at positions 58 to 339 of the family's 1533-position model. The record is from RNAcentral. Lineage: Bacteria; Bacillati; Bacillota; Clostridia; Eubacteriales; Oscillospiraceae.